GCGGUGAGCCGUGACUGGCGCGCUGGGAUGGAUUUCACCAUCGGGGAGCGGCUCCGCACGGAACCUUCGGGUUCCGACGUGCUGUAGCCGAGCGCCUGGGCCGUCCGA
This is a regulatory RNA element of Kitasatospora griseola, 108 nucleotides long. It matches the Rfam family "ZMP/ZTP riboswitch aptamer (pfl RNA motif)". From Rfam's summary of the family: Previously known as pfl RNA. ZMP is also known as AICAR. The record is from Rfam. NCBI's taxonomy places the organism in Bacteria, Bacillati, Actinomycetota, Actinomycetes, Kitasatosporales, Streptomycetaceae.